UAAAGGUUUGGUCCUGACCUUACUAUCAGCUUCUUCUAAACUUACACAUGCAAGUCUCAGCAUACCCGUGAGGAUGCCCUUUAAUCUCUACCAGGAUAAGGAGCUGGUAUCAGGCACUAAAAUUUGCCCAUCACACCUAGUCUCACCACGCCCCCAAGGGUCACAGCAGUGAUAAACAUUGUUCAUAAGCGACAGCUUGACUCAGUUAUAGAAUACAGAGCUGGCCAACUCGGUGCCAGCCGCCGCGGCUAAACCGCACGAGCUCAAGUUGAUACAUUUCGGCGUUAAGCGUGAUUAAAGGAUCUUCUAAUUAGAAUAAAAUCAUCAUUUAGCUGUGACAAGCUUGUAAUUGAGAAAAACAAAAACGAAAGUUAUUCUAAUAUACUUGAACCCACGACAGUUAGA
Molecule: ribosomal RNA, 405 nt
Filed under: Limnonectes modestus (Moluccas wart frog)
Lineage: Eukaryota; Metazoa; Chordata; Amphibia; Anura; Dicroglossidae
Description: partial 12S ribosomal RNA
Source: RNAcentral